UACAUUUAGAAAAGAAAUUUACAAAAUAUAAACAUUCAGCAAGUUAAUUUUUAAACUCCACAAUAAUACUACACAUUUUUGUAUUAAUGCAACAGCUGGCAUGUUUUUGUAUCAAACUAAAUAAAAAUUCACAUGAAACUAAACUUUCUUGUUGAAUUCAUUCGUUCAUCUGAUCAUAAAAAAAUAAAAUCAUCAGAAACUUUUUGAAAAACAUGUAAAAAUGUUUUAUUGAAGCCUUUGACCUUCAUUUAUUCAUUCAUUCAUAUUCAAUAUGAAUAAAAAGUUUCUGUAGCACGUCAGGAUCACUAACACCAAGAUAAACAUCAGUACUUCCUACACUAAUACCUACAUAAGGCCACUAGGAAUCAUGGGACUGAUGGGGCAGUUUAACCCCGGCGCAUCAUGGGAAGACUAAUGGUGUAAAUAAACAAGCAAACAAAAAACUAAGGAACAUUAAAACAGAAGGAAGAAAUUUUGAAUGAGAACUUGUUGAAAGUUUUUUUUCACAGUUUGUUUGUUUUAGCGCUUCCUUCCUGACCUCACUGCGGCCACGCCCCCUUGUUUCCCAGAAGGCAGAGUCACGGUGAGGUCAGAGAUGAUAAAUUAAAAAUAAAUAAUCAUUAAAUAUAAAUAAAGAGGAGGAUGGAGAGCUGCGAUUGGUUCCUUCAAACCUCCAACAGAUGGAACAAUCUGUUGGUUCUGAACGAGAGAACCUUUGAAACGUUCCCGAGUCCCGUCGUGGGAUCAGGACGAUCACUGAAACGGUCAAUCUGAUGAGAAUGUUAAGAACGUCUUUGUACUGAGUUUUUAUUUGCCUGAAGAACAUGUUCUACCAACAUGGUUGCGUAUUCUAGGGUAGCGAAAGAACAACCCACCCUACAUACCCUCCGAUUGGCCAGUACUUGUUGGCUCUGUUUGCAUGAUUGUUUAGGUUUAGGUUUAAGGUAUGAAGGUCGGGGUAAGAAGGUCAGGGUAUGAACGUCGGGGUAAGAAGGUCAGGGUAUGAACGUCAGGGUAAGAAGGUCAGGGUAAGAAUGUCAGGGUAAGAAGGUCAGGGUACGGACGUCAGGGUAAGAACGUCAGGGUAUGAAGGUCAGGGUAUGAAGGUCAGGGUAUGAACGUCAGGGUAAGAAGGUCAGGGUAAGAAGGUCAGGGUAUGAACGUCAGGGUAUGAACGUCAGGGUAUGAACGUCAGGGUAAGAAGGUCAGGGUAAGAAGGUCAGGAUAUGAACGUCAGGGUAAGAAGGUCAGGGUAAGAAGGUCAGGGUAUGAACGUCAGGGUAAGAAGGUCAGGGUAAGAAGGUCAGUGUAUGAACAUCAGGGUAUGAACAGCAGGGUAAGAAGGUCAGGGUAAGAACGUCAGGGUAAGAAGGUCAGGGUAUGAACAGCAGGGUAAGAAGGUCAGGGUAAGAAGGUCAGGGUAUGAACGUCAGGGUAAGAAGGUCGGGGUAUGAAGGUCAGAGUAAAAAGGUCAGGGUAUGAACGUCAGGGUAAGAAGGUCAGGAUAUGAACGUCAGGGUAUGAAGGUCAGAGUAUGAACGUCAGGGUAAGAAGGUCAGGGUAUGAACAGCAGGGUAAGAAGGUCAGGGUAAGAAUGUCAGGGUAUGAACAGCAGGGUACGAACGUCAGGGUAAGAAGGUCAGGGUAUGAACAUCAGGGUAAGAAGGUCAGAGUAAGAAGGUCAGGGUAAGAACGUCAGGGUAAGAAGGUCAGGGUAUGAACAGCAGGGUAAGAAGGUCAGGGUAUGAACAGCAGGGUAAGAAGGUCAGGGUAAGAAGGUCAGGGUAUGAACAGCAGGGUAAGAAGGUCAGGGUAUGAACAGCAGGGUAAGAAGGUCAGAGUAUGAACGUCAGGGUAAGAAGGUCAAGGUAACAACGUUAGGGUAAGAAGGUCAGGGUAUGAACGUCAGGGUAAGAAGGUCAAGGUAACAACGUUAGGGUAAGCAAAUCAGAGGCAGAGUAAGGCGAACCAUUCCUUCAAUACCCUUGGAUUGGCAAAUUCAUGAGCGUUUCACAGUGACUCAUAUUAGAUCUAAGAACUCUACCGACCUUUAACCCCUCUCGUAGAACUCAUUCCAGUAACACGUUCCUGAACACGGAACAUGUUCCAGAGUCAUUGAUACAUUCAUGGAUCACGUUUUAUUAGCUUAUAGUAACACUGUCUGGGUGUAACGGAAACACGACACAUUUUCCAU
This is a long non-coding RNA of Epinephelus moara (kelp grouper), 2194 nucleotides long. RefSeq lists it as uncharacterized. The transcript is spliced from 2 exons. Lineage: Eukaryota; Metazoa; Chordata; Actinopteri; Perciformes; Serranidae. The record is from RefSeq and is a predicted model, not a curated record.